RNAcentral lists this ribosomal RNA (407 nucleotides) under uncultured bacterium. RNAcentral describes it as "partial 16S ribosomal RNA". It matches the Rfam family "Bacterial small subunit ribosomal RNA", at positions 30 to 526 of the family's 1533-position model. The record is from RNAcentral.
AUUGAACGCUGGCGGCAGGCCUAACACAUGCAAGUCGCGCGGAUCGGCGGACGUGUGAGUAAUGCCUAGGACUCUGCCUGGUAGUGGGGGAUAACGUCCGGAAACGGGCGCUAAUACCGCAUACUAUCAGAUGAGCCUAGGUCGGCUUAGCUAGUUGGUGGGGUAAAGGCCUACCAAGGCGACGAUCCGUAACUGGUCUGAGAGGAUGAUCAGUCACACUGGAACUGAAACACGAGCCAGACUCCUGCGGCAGGAAGCGGUGAGGAGAAUUGGACAAUUGGAGAAAGCCUGAUCCAGCCAUGCAGCGGGGAUGAAAGAGGUGUUCGGAUUGUUAAGCACUUUAAGUUGGGUGGCCUUACCAACAGAAUAAAGACCGGCUAACUCAGUGCUAGCAGGCGCGGUAAUAC